GGGCGAUUGAUGGAAUUGGAAUACGUGCCGUCCUUAGAAGUCGGAUUUUGGGGGUUCGAGUCCCUGUCGCCCA
Molecule: transfer RNA, 73 nt
Filed under: Salmonella phage 19
Lineage: Duplodnaviria; Heunggongvirae; Uroviricota; Caudoviricetes
Rfam family: tRNA
About the family: Transfer RNA (tRNA) molecules are approximately 80 nucleotides in length. Their secondary structure includes four short double-helical elements and three loops (D, anti-codon, and T loops). Further hydrogen bonds mediate the characteristic L-shaped molecular structure. tRNAs have two regions of fundamental functional importance: the anti-codon, which is responsible for specific mRNA codon recognition, and the 3' end, to which the tRNAs corresponding amino acid is attached (by aminoacyl-tRNA synthetases). tRNAs cope with the degeneracy of the genetic code in two manners: having more than one tRNA (with a specific anti-codon) for a particular amino acid; and 'wobble' base-pairing, i.e. permitting non-standard base-pairing at the 3rd anti-codon position.
Source: Rfam by way of RNAcentral